This 447-nucleotide ribosomal RNA is filed under the name uncultured bacterium. Its description in RNAcentral is "bacterial SSU rRNA". It matches the Rfam family "Bacterial small subunit ribosomal RNA", at positions 355 to 825 of the family's 1533-position model. The record is from RNAcentral.
UGGGGAAUAUUGGACAAUGGGCGCAAGCCUGAUCCAGCCAUGCCGCGUGAGUGACGAAGGCCUUAGGGUUGUAAAGCUCUUUUGGCGGGGAAGAUAAUGACGGUACCCGCAGAAUAAGCUCCGGCUAACUUCGUGCCAGCAGCCGCGGUAAUACGAAGGGAGCUAGCGUUGUUCGGAAUCACUGGGCGUAAAGCGCACGUAGGUGGGCAGUUAAGUCAGGGGUGAAAGCCCGAGGCUCAACCUCGGAAUUGCCUCUGAUACUGGCUGUCUAGAGUUCGAGAGAGGUGAGUGGAAUUCCUAGUGUAGAGGUGAAAUUCGUAGAUAUUAGGAAGAACACCGGUGGCGAAGGCGGCUCACUGGCUCGAUACUGACGCUGAGGCGCGAAAGCCAGGGGAGCAAACGGGAUUAGAUACCCGCGUAGUCCCUGAGCGGGCUGGCAAGGCGCAU